Toxorhynchites rutilus septentrionalis is the source of this 1820-nucleotide long non-coding RNA. RefSeq lists it as uncharacterized. Lineage: Eukaryota; Metazoa; Arthropoda; Insecta; Diptera; Culicidae. The record is from RefSeq and is a predicted model, not a curated record. The transcript is spliced from 3 exons.
GCAGCACUGCCGACAGUAUUAGCUAUAAUUGUACGCGAUUAUUUGGGCUGAGAGAAACGGCGUCUCUGCUGCGAUAGCUUUUCCCUUCCUCCCUAGAUUGUCAGUUGAGUAAACAAGAGAGAUCGCAUAACAAGCAGAAAUCUUCGCGUUUGCUCGCGAUGCCUUUACUAGGAAAUCUCGCCUUCGAUAAUGGAGAUUCUACCUCACACAAAAAUCGGGAUACGAAGAUUGUUCUCAUGUGUUUUGGUUUAUCUAAUCGUUCAGUUGAAUUAAAACUCACUUUUUCGUUCCUGAAGCGUCACGGAAUAUGCCUUUCGUCAUAGCUGCAGUAGCAGCCGCAAGCCGAUUCAGCCAAAUUAUUCACCAAAGUCUUCAUUUCAGGUUAGGCGAAUGCUGCAUUAUUGAUGGUAUAUGGAAAUAUUUGAACUUUGGAGAGUUCCACGAAUUUAGGAAAUAUAAAUUAUUACACACAGAAAAAUGAUUGCUUUCGUAUGCGUAAGUGGGAAUGUAGUUCAUUUAGGUGGCCUUUUUCAAGGAAGAAAAGGUAUUAUUGGUAAAUUUCUAAAUAUGUACCAACCUUCGGUAAUCUGCUCGAUGUUGUUUUUUUCCAUAUGAUGGUCAUGUUAAGGUCCAUUUAUACGUUGCUAGUAGCUGACUUCACAAUGAGCAGCUACUGACCCGGUGAACUCGCUUGACAAAUGGUUGACUCGCCUUGUCCGUUCACACAAUGUGAGCUGCUGGCAAGAAACUAGAUACUACGGCACGGGUUUACCAGAGAUGCCAGACGAUUUUUCAAAUGUUCAUCAAAUAGUCAGAAACAGCAAUCAGGUCCGAAUUUGUCAGAUGAGGAAAAUGAAAAUGAUAGUAGAUUUGCAGAAGGAACAAAUACGCCUCGAAAACUAAAAUAAUGAAGGAAAAUCUACUUUUUUAUAUCGAUUAUGUAUUCUGUUUCUUAGAACAAUACUUUUUUUUGCAAGUUGUGAGUGAAUUCUGAAUGAAAAUUGUGCCCGAUAAUGAUUUUAUAUUCAGAUUCCCAAUAAAGUUAUCUCAAAAAGAAAACGUAUUAGUUUUCCAAUAAUUUUCAAAUCUAUAAAUAUCUUCGCACAUUUUCAAAUAUCUUAAAAAUAGAGACAUGUCAAGACAAUGUAAAGAUUUGGCAUCCCUGAUUCGAGCGCUAAAUUCUGUUUUUGACGUUUUGAGGGAUGCGAGUGCGAGUAAAUUCAAAAAACUUUGAAGUAGCUCGCACGCCGAAUCACACAUGACACUAACUGGAAUGAUGUGUUCACACGGUGUGAGUAGCUGCACUGCAGUAACUGACUAGAUCGACUCGUAUGCUUACUCGCACCGUCUGAACCCGGCUUUACACGCUCUGGAAUAGUAUUAAUGGACAUUGGCAUGGAUGACAAUUUCUUAAGAUGACGAACUCUUGUGGUUUAUUCUCUGUGCGGAUCACUGAAUGAGCAACUACUCCAAAAUUGUUCGCGGUAGGGUCUUUUCUAUGAUGAUGUUCCUGCAGGCAAAACUUACGAUAAUUCUCCAGUGCAAAUAUAGUUAUAAAAACUUUCCUUUGGAUUCCUAGUUUGAACUACGGAAGAUCGAGAACUAGAGAUUCUAUCGCUAAAAGUGAAAUCCCGAUUCCACUUCUAGAUUAUUUGAAAAAUUACAUCUAAGUUUAUGCUAGCAAUUGGAUAACCCAAUCCUCAAUGGCCAACAAUAGAAUUAGUAAUGCAAAUGGUUUUUGGUAUUUGGUAUGUAUAUAUAAAGUAGAUGUAAGGCUUUUAAAUGUGAUUUGAAUUUUCAUUUUCAGUACAAAAAAUAAA